ACCAUCACUAUCAACUGACCUGUACUUAGAAUUGUUUUUUCGUUAGCAAUGGUUUAUCGUUGCUUACAGGUAUACAUUAAAUCACCUAUAAAGUUCUCUACAUACACGGUCAAUCUUGACUUUCAAUCACGUUAAUUGUCAUUUAAGAUUGACCGUGUUUGAGGGGGAGGGGGCGGGCUUAAAAGUAGCUGCGCUCGUCCCCAUUAUCCUAGGAUGUCUUUUUUUUUAAUUUUAAUGAAAAUGAUGUCAAGCUAUUUUAACAAUCGUAAUAAGUAUACCAACCGUAGAUAGUAGACAACAGGUGAUAGUGAUUAACUUGUAUCGUAAACUUAAAUAGUACGUUCAUAUUAUUCUCGAGGUCGACAAAACCAAAUAGACGUGGUGCAAUCAUUUUCCCGUAUACCUAAACAAUUAAUUAGAGACGACUGUAAUUUAAUUAUUUUAUUUAAACAUGACGAGAUUAAUUUAAAGCACGUAUAUUGCGAUCAUUGCUCUAGCGAUAAGUCGUAUGUCGAAUUUAAGCACUUUUGUAUGGCUUGUCGGAAUAAAGGGAAAUUCGAGUUUGUCGCGAUUAGUAAAGAUAGCGAACGCGACAGCGGUAUUGUAUAAUCACGCACGGAGCCGGUUUAUCAGAUGAGCUGAUCGCGGCUAAAGAAAAUAUAAAACGCAAAUUAUUCGGCACUAAAGCGGGCAGAUGACACUGUUCGGGCAAAAGUUCUGAAAACUCCAGAAAGGACCAAUUAUCGAUCCAUUGAAUAAAAUCCAACGGCAAAACAAUUAUAAACCCACCGAAUGUAGCAUUACG
Non-coding RNA from Cinara cedri, 805 nucleotides. Lineage: Eukaryota; Metazoa; Arthropoda; Insecta; Hemiptera; Aphididae. The record is from the annotation of a GenBank genome assembly.